This is a long non-coding RNA of Oreochromis niloticus (Nile tilapia), 1908 nucleotides long. Lineage: Eukaryota; Metazoa; Chordata; Actinopteri; Cichliformes; Cichlidae. The record is from Ensembl.
GUUCUUGUACCUGAAGCUGUUCGGGAGGCAUUUUGCUUCUCUCCUUAAAGCAGUGUCUUUCAGUCAGAGUUUUUGUGGCAUUCCCCUCUUCAGAGGCUGAAAUGAAGAUCACAGAUUAGAACUAUUAUAGUUUUUAUUACUAUUACCAAUAUUAUUUUUAUUAUUAUACUUUUGUAUUUAUAAUUUGACUUUUUUCAUUUUGACCUUUUGUUUUGUUGUUCAGUUAGUUAUUAUUGUAAGAGAAGUUUUUAUUGUAGUUUAGUUUUUUAUUAGUUUCAUUGUUAACACUGGUCUUUUUAAUUAUUAUUGAAUAGAGGGCAUAUGUCAGAGGCAAGUUUUAUCAAAAUCAAUUACAAUAAAAACACUGAACUUUUUGAAAUCUGUUUAUUCACAGUCUUGUUGACAUCGAGAGUUUCACAUUCAUCAAAGCGUCAUCGGCUUUCUCUACACUUUCUUUACUCUGCCUGCAGUCGCUCUGGGUCUUACAGUGAAGGGUCACUGAAAAUGAACAGAGAGUUGUUCUGAAAGAACACCUUUACACUAUGAUGAAACAUUUCCGUCCUAACGGGAGUGGUCUCCUCCAAACUGACCGUAGGGCAUGAGGUGUCUCAAGAACCAAACGAAAGAACUAUGGAAGAAUUUGGAGCGGCACUGCUCUCCAACACCACUUUAAAAACACCAAAUGAGGGAAUAUCUUUUGGAAGAAUAAUGUUCCAUCUCUCCAGUAGUUUUCCAGAGACUUGUAGAAUCCACACCGAGGUACACUGAGGCUUCUCUGUGGACGUGUGGUAGCUCAGCUCCUUAGAUUGACUUUCCAUUAACUUGUCACCUGCUUGCAGUAAACGAUGUUGUUUUGUAAAGUAUAAAGAGUAAUGAGGUGCUUACUGAUACAUUUAAAAAGAAAAUAACAGCUGAAGAAUAAAGAUUAGCUACUGAACAAUGAAAUAAAUCGGUUAUUCAUCUGGGAAUUAGGUCAGCAAUAAUAGCUCUAAAAAAGAAAAAGAAAUUGAAAGGCAAGCAGUGGAACAGGUUUCCACACCUCAUAGAAUCCAAAAAAGAGAAUAAAUGUGCAUGCAGUUAUUUUUAAUAAUGGAAUACAUUUACAUAUACUUACUGAAGCUGAUGUUGUUUCUUAUCAGUAACAACUGUGGUAUUGGUAUCACAUCAAUAUGUAGCCCACUGAACUAUGUUAAUGUUUUUUGCUUUAUUUUUCUGAAAAAAUAUAUCUCAGACAUGAACUGUUGAAAAUAUCUGAUUCUUUAUGUGUUGCUUAUGAUGUUUUUUUGUUUUUUUAUUUAUAGCCUAUAUCACAUUUAAACAAGAGAAGCUGACCCAAAGUCUUUUACAAACAGGCACUUUUAUAUUCAAUGGCUUCAAAAAACCCAGUUUCAAAACACAUGACAUACAUGAAAGUGAUUUGAUGUGGUAACUAAUUAUUGUGGAAAGUAGCAAUCACAGUGAUUUGGUCAUUAAUAUGUGUUCAGAAUGAUUCAUCUCAUAAAUCAUGACAUACUGCUCUCCCUUAGAUAAGCUGGCUUUAAAAGAUAAAAGUAUCAGAGUCAGUAUUAGUAUCAGUACUGGCCUUGGAUUUACUUGGAUACCAAAGUGUGCAGUAUCACAGCACUAGACUAACUACUCAGGGGCUCUGAAGAAACUCAAGCUUUGCACGAGCCAAUAGGACAAGAGGGGUGGAGUGACACGAGCUCUAAAGUGCUACAAGGAGUAGAAUGUAACCGUCCCUCGUCAAAAUUUGCCUGGUCCUGGAGAAGGAUGUGAGACGGAAUGGAAAAAUUCAACAGACCAAAUCCGGGAUUUUGGUUAUUUACGCGGGGUUACACUCUUUCUACAAAGUCGCGCGCCUUUACGCAACUAGAGAGCUCUUUGGGAUUUUGGAGGGUGGGGGUCAGU